AACUUCCUAUCAAUCAAGGAAGGAUACAGUUCAGCAUAUGUCAUUGGAAUCGGGUCAAAAGUUACCCUCUUUCUCUCGUAGUUUCUGGUGCUGGUGUUAUUGUUGUUUCGAGGCUAGUAGGCCUGUUGUUGUUGACGAUGUUGUUGUUGUUAUUGAUGGUGAACUUCUCUAAAAGCAGGUGCUAUGUGAGCCACCUGGUGUUGGUUCACGGCAGGACGUACAUUCUUCCUCUUUACAGAGGGUCUUCUCUUAAUAUGGGAGGACACUGCAUGGGUCUUCCCUUC
This 284-nucleotide long non-coding RNA is filed under the name Lathyrus oleraceus (garden pea). RNAcentral describes it as "Pisum sativum (pea) long non-coding RNA (PSAT_LNC009515)". Lineage: Eukaryota; Viridiplantae; Streptophyta; Magnoliopsida; Fabales; Fabaceae. The record is from RNAcentral.